This 597-nucleotide ribosomal RNA is filed under the name Neofusicoccum parvum. RNAcentral describes it as "eukaryotic LSU rRNA". The stretch from base 237 to 390 matches the Rfam family "5.8S ribosomal RNA". The record is from RNAcentral. Lineage: Eukaryota; Fungi; Ascomycota; Dothideomycetes; Botryosphaeriales; Botryosphaeriaceae.
UAGAGGAAGUAAAAGUCGUAACAAGGUUUCCGUAGGUGAACCUGCGGAAGGAUCAUUACCGAGUUGAUUCGAGCUCCGGCUCGACUCUCCCACCCAAUGUGUACCUACCUCUGUUGCUUUGGCGGGCCGCGGUCCUCCGCACCGGCGCCCUUCGGGGGGCUGGCCAGCGCCCGCCAGAGGACCAUAAAACUCCAGUCAGUGAACUUCGCAGUCUGAAAAACAAGUUAAUAAACUAAAACUUUCAACAACGGAUCUCUUGGUUCUGGCAUCGAUGAAGAACGCAGCGAAAUGCGAUAAGUAAUGUGAAUUGCAGAAUUCAGUGAAUCAUCGAAUCUUUGAACGCACAUUGCGCCCCUUGGUAUUCCGAGGGGCAUGCCUGUUCGAGCGUCAUUUCAACCCUCAAGCUCUGCUUGGUAUUGGGCCCCGUCCUCCACGGACGCGCCUUAAAGACCUCGGCGGUGGCGUCUUGCCUCAAGCGUAGUAGAAAACACCUCGCUUUGGAGCGCACGGCGUCGCCCGCCGGACGAACCUUUGAAUUAUUUCUCAAGGUUGACCUCGGAUCAGGUAGGGAUACCCGCUGAACUUAAGCAUAUCAAU